RNAcentral lists this ribosomal RNA (301 nucleotides) under uncultured bacterium. RNAcentral's name for it is "partial 16S ribosomal RNA". It matches the Rfam family "Bacterial small subunit ribosomal RNA", at positions 509 to 807 of the family's 1533-position model. The record is from RNAcentral.
CAGUCGCCGCGGGAAUACGUAGGGUGCGAGCGUUAAUCGGAAUUACUGGGCGUAAAGCGUGCGCAGGCGGUUCGUUAAGACAGAUGUGAAAUCCCCGGGCUUAACCUGGGAACUGCAUUUGUGACUGGCGAGCUAGAGUAUGGCAGAGGGGGGUAGAAUCCCACGUGUAGCAGUGAAAUGCGUAGAGAUGUGGAGGAAUACCGAUGGCGAAGGCAGCCCCCUGGGCCAAUACUGACGCUCAUGCACGAAAGCGUGGGGAGCAAACAGGAUUAGAUACCCGGGUAGUCCCUGUCUCUUAUAC